RNA transcript from Ipomoea nil (Japanese morning glory), 2406 nucleotides. It is a transcript of the gene named U3 small nucleolar RNA-associated protein 6 homolog, with no coding region annotated. The record is from RefSeq and is a predicted model, not a curated record. The transcript has 7 exons. Lineage: Eukaryota; Viridiplantae; Streptophyta; Magnoliopsida; Solanales; Convolvulaceae.
AAAACCUCCGUCUCUCUCUCUCUCUCUCUCUCUCUCUCGCUAGUUCGCCGCUUAUUCUUCAAUCUAUUGCCGGAAAGAGGAGAAGAGGAAACGGAAAGGGAAGCGGAAAAGGAGAAUGGCGGAUGUGGUGCAGUACAAGCUGGAGCGGAUGCUCCCGGAGCUGGACGACCUGGAACGGCGCGGCUUGUUCAGCAAAUUCGAGAUAGGGGAGAUUGUCAAGCAGCGCCGGAAGUUCGAGUACCGGCUGAAGAGGCACAGCCCGCUGAAAUCGGAUUUCAUAGCGUAUAUUGAUUACGAGAAGCAGCUCGACGCUCUCCGCCUCCUGCGGAAGAGAGCUCUGAUGAAGGAGGACGGCCACGCAAAAUCGAAGAAAUCGGUUUCGGAUUUCUCCGGCGUUGCGAGGAUUGUGGAGAUAUAUCGCCUCGCUACGAAUCGGUUUAAGGGCGACAUUGAGCUCUGGUUUCAGUAUUUGGAGUUCUGCAGAGAGCGAAGAAAUGGUAGAAUGAAGAAGGCUCUGGUUGAUGCAAUUAGGAUGCACCCAACAGUGCCUGGGCUUUGGAUUUACGCUGCAUCUUGGGAAUUUGACCAAAACUUAAAUGUUGCAGCUGCUCGUGCCUUGAUGCAACGUGGUUUUAGAGCAUGCCCAAGUUCUGAGGAUCUAUGGAUAGAAUAUCUUCGCAUGGAGCUCACCUACCUUAAUAAAUUAAAGGCUAGAAAAGUAGCUCUGGGAGAAGAUGUAGGCACGCUGACAAACGAUCAGAAAAAUGCAAAAGAGAAGCAGUGGAGAGAUGAGAACAAAGAAUUAUUUAUGUCCCUUGAUGAUGAGAUUAAGGAUGACAAAGCAUCAAAUCCUCAAGAUGCAGAACAAAAGGACAAAGUUGAUUUAUUUAAAGAGCAUGGUUUUAGCAUUUUUCAAACUGUAUACAAUAGUGCUAUUGAAGCCAUCCCUUCUAGUUUCAGCUUAAGAACGCGAUUUCUUGAGAUACUAGACGCAACAGAUCUAGCUCAUUCAGAAGAUAUGCAAAAACAGAUACUUGAUGAUUUGAAAAAGGACUUCUGUAAAGAACCAACAUAUUGGGACUGGCUGGCAAGACUGGAAAUGUUUGGUCUUAAAAACGUGGAGAAGGUUUCAGAAGGAAUGAUCUCUGAUCGUGUACGUGAAGCAAUUCAGGUAUAUGAGGAGGGUUUAAAAGUUGUGCCCUCAGCCACGAUGUUUGAACUUUAUGUGAAGUUCUUGACAGAUGCCAUCCCUUGUGGAAAUGGAGAUGGUAAAUCUUCUGAUAACUCAAGCAAUCAUGUUGGUGAUCCCAUUGCACAGCUGUUGAUGGUAUAUGAGAAGGCUGAAAGCAUGGGGUGCAUCACUGAAGCUCUUGCUUGUCAACAUGUUUCUUUCCUUUUGCAACUGGGAAAGCAAGUUGAAGCCAAGACACUGGUAGAAAAGUUUUGUACAGGAAAAUUUUCUGAAGCAGUGCAUUUAUGGGCAUUACGGCUCUCCAUAGAAAUGAUGUGCACUGAAAAUGGGUUCUCUUCAAACAAGGCUGCUCUGUUAUCAUUCUUUGAACUCCUUAGGAAUGUUCUAAUGAAGGUUUCUAUAUCAAAAGCAGAAAACUUGUGGCUUAUGGCACUCAAGGUUUUUUCAAGUCAUAAACAGAUUUUUGACAAACUGAUAGAUACUGCGGUGGCUUUAUUGGCUAAAGAUGGUGGAAGUGAUGGUGGAUUUUCGCUCUCUUCUGCCAUUGUAAAUUAUGUUCUACAGAAGGAUGGACUUCGCAGUGCAAGAGAGAUGUACAGGAGAUUUAUCGCACUACCACACCCAGGACUGUCAAUAUAUAAGAAUUGCAUUGAAUUGGAAUUGAGCAUUGUGUCCACUGGUGAUGAGGGUUCUCUUGCAAAUGCCCGCUCACUAUACGAUGCUAUGCUGACAACAUAUGACCAAGAUGCAAACUUGUGGCGAGACUACUACUCUAUGGAGGUUAAGUUUGGAACAUUGGAAAAAGCAGCAGCAGUCGAAUGGCGUGCACGAAAAACACUCAACAAAGGCUUCCCACUACUCUCAACGGUUUAGAGUUCAGGCUUAAAUUUGUGUAUGCUAACCACAGAAAUUGUGUUUUCUUUUUCUUUUCCCCUGUUGUUGAUGUUUUGAACAACUACCGAGUUCAGUAAAGGAUUUUUGGCUAAGUUUGAAUCCCCUCACCGCAACUCCGCCCAUCCUAGAGAUUGGCAGAGGAGAUAAAUUGCGGGGAAUGUCUCAACUAGCCAACAAUCUUGUACACUAAUGUUGUCUUGUUAGCAAAGCAAAUUUAUAAACUUAUUUUAAUUUAGUUGACCAGUUGAACUAUAUCUUGCCGGAACUUAUGGAUAUUUUCUAAAAUUACAGAAAAGUACACUCAAAGGUCUCAAAGUGAA